CGGACGGGUGAGUAAUGUCUGGGAAACUGCCUGAUGGAGGGGGAUAACUACUGGAAACGGUAGCUAGUACCGCAUAACGUCGCAAGACCAAAGAGGGGGACCUUCGGGCCUCUUGCCAUCGGAUGUGCCCAGAUGGGAUUAGCUAGUAGGUGGGGUAACGGCUCACCUAGGCGACGAUCCCUAGCUGGUCUGAGAGGAUGACCAGCCACACUGGAACUGAGACACGGUCCAG
RNAcentral lists this ribosomal RNA (232 nucleotides) under uncultured bacterium. RNAcentral describes it as "partial 16S ribosomal RNA". It matches the Rfam family "Bacterial small subunit ribosomal RNA", at positions 99 to 334 of the family's 1533-position model. The record is from RNAcentral.